AUUGGGCAACAUCUAAUCAAAGAAUGUAAACAAGUCUAAGAAUCUGUCCACACAUUCAAAAAUAGAAAUAGAAAAUGGUGAAAAAUGCCAAUUACAAUUAUCCACAGCCAAAAGUGUCUGGCCAACAGUCCAGAGCCUCUAGGGCCUUAUAUUACAGGGCUGGCCACCAAAGAAAAUCAUCCUGUAUGCCAUUAGACUUCCAUUCAUUCUCUUUUCUAUUGAGCUGUAAACCAACAACACAGUUUAGGAGGAUGGACUGACUCUUUUCAGUCUGCAAACAUCUGAAAUUGUCCAGUCCCAGAAAACAAACUCAACCUUCACUAGACAUAACGACAAAAAUACCUUGAUGCUGCAUUUCCACUGAGAUACAAAUGGAGGGGCUUACAUUCAGCAGCAGAAACAAAAAACCAAAACUCAGAAUUGUAGUGCAAAACAUUGAAGACGAUCUUUAUUGUUCACAGUUAAAUACAAGCCACUGCUUUAGGAACUUCCUUUUUUGCCAUUUCAUCCCAGAUUCUCCAGCUCUGGUCAGAGUCCUGGUUUCUUCAGUUUGUGCUGAUUGUACCUUCUGUCUUUGUUUGCGGUAGUUACUACGGUUGGCAUUUAAAGUGGAUUGUUGAACAUGCUUUAGAUAGCGAGGCAAAAGGAAGUGACAGCAGGAGUUCUCGGUGGACAACAGGAUUUGGAUGACUUUCAAUACAGGAGUUUACUUCUAAUACUCGGUAGAAAUGAGGUAACUCCCUGUUUAUCAGACCUGCAGAAGGGAACCUGAUUGGACAACAUGUUUUUGGUUUUGUUUCACACACUUUACCAGCUGAAUGUACAAACAACAGGAGAAACAACACUUUCUGUUAAGAGAUGUUUGAAUUCAGCCAGAACACAAAUGUUUGCAUGGCACUUCAAAAUGAUCAGUUGGUAAUCUUGAACAGUAAAAGCAGAUAUAGAUAUAUAUUUUU
Long non-coding RNA from Sander lucioperca (pikeperch), 956 nucleotides. RefSeq lists it as uncharacterized. Lineage: Eukaryota; Metazoa; Chordata; Actinopteri; Perciformes; Percidae. The transcript has 3 exons. The record is from RefSeq and is a predicted model, not a curated record.